UACGUAGGGUCCGAGCGUUGUCCGGAAUUAUUGGGCGUAAAGGGCUCGUAGGCGGUUCGUCACGUCGGGAGUGAAAACUCGGGGCUUAACCCCGAGCCUGCUUCCGAUACGGGCAGACUAAAGGUAGGCAGGGGAGAGCGGAACUCCUGGUGUAGCGGUGGAAUGCGCAGAUAUCAGGAAGAACACCGGUGGCGAAGGCGGCUCUCUGGGGCCUUACCUGACGCUGAGGAGCGAAAGCGUGGGUAGCGAACAGG
This 254-nucleotide ribosomal RNA is filed under the name uncultured bacterium. Its description in RNAcentral is "partial 16S ribosomal RNA". It matches the Rfam family "Bacterial small subunit ribosomal RNA", at positions 524 to 776 of the family's 1533-position model. The record is from RNAcentral.